This 506-nucleotide ribosomal RNA is filed under the name uncultured bacterium. RNAcentral's name for it is "bacterial SSU rRNA". It matches the Rfam family "Bacterial small subunit ribosomal RNA", at positions 501 to 1009 of the family's 1533-position model. The record is from RNAcentral.
CUACGUGCCAGCAGCCGCGGUAAUACGGAAGGUCCGGGCGUUAUCCGGAUUUAUUGGGUUUAAAGGGAGCGUAGGCCGGAGAUUAAGUGUGUUGUGAAAUGUAGACGCUCAACGUCUGACUUGCAGCGCAUACUGGUUUCCUUGAGUACGCACAACGUUGGCGGAAUUCGUCGUGUAGCGGUGAAAUGCUUAGAUAUGACGAAGAACUCCGAUUGCGAAGGCAGCUGACGGGAGCGCAACUGACGCUUAAGCUCGAAGGUGCGGGUAUCAAACAGGAUUAGAUACCCUGGUAGUCCGCACAGUAAACGAUGGAUGCCCGCUGUUGGUACCUGGUAUCAGCGGCUAAGCGAAAGCAUUAAGCAUCCCACCUGGGGAGUACGCCGGCAACGGUGAAACUCAAAGGAAUUGACGGGGGCCCGCACAAGCGGAGGAACAUGUGGUUUAAUUCGAUGAUACGCGAGGAACCUUACCCGGGCUUGAAUUGCAGAGGAAGGAUUUAGAGAUAA